Molecule: ribosomal RNA, 468 nt
Filed under: uncultured bacterium
Lineage: Bacteria
Description: partial 16S ribosomal RNA
Rfam family: Bacterial small subunit ribosomal RNA
Source: RNAcentral
GACGAACGCUGGCGGCGUGCUUAACACAUGCAAGUCGAACGGAAAGGCCCUGCUUUUGUGGGGUGCUCGAGUGGCGAACGGGUGAGUAACACGUGAGUAACCUGCCCUUGACUUUGGGAUAACUUCAGGAAACUAGGGCUAAUACCGGAUAGGAGCUCCUGCUGCCUGGUGGGGGUGGGAAAGGUUCGGCGGUUGGGGAAGGACUCGCGGCGUAUCAGCUUGUUGGUGGGGUAGUGUCUUACCAAGGCUUUGACGGGUAGCCGGCCUGAGGGGGUGAUCGGCCACAUUGGGACUGAGAUACGGCCCAGACUCCUACGGGAGGCAGCAGUGGGGAAUAGUGCACAAUGGGCGGAAGCCUGAUGCAGCAACGCCGCGUGCGGGAUGACGGCCUGCGGGUUGUAAACCGCUUUCGCCUGUGACGAAGAGUGAGUGACGGUAAUGGGUAAAGAAGCACCGGCUAACUACGUG